AGCGGCAGACGGGUGAGUAACACGUAGGUAACCUGCCCUCAAGACGGGGAUAACGCCUGGAAACGGGCGCUAAUACCGGAUGACCUUAGUUGGGGAAGAUUCGAUUAAGGAAAGGCUAUGGCGCUUGAGGAGGGGCCUGCGGCCCAUCAGUUAGUUGGUAGGGUAACGGCCUACCAAGGCGAAGACGGGUAGGGGGUGUGAGAGCACGGCCCCCCACACUGGGACUGAGACACGGCCCAGACUCCUACGGGAGGCAGCAGCGGGGAAUAUUGCGCAAUGGACGGAAGUCAGACGCAGCGACGCCGCGUGGGUGAAGAAGGCCUUCGGGUUGUAAAGCCCUUUUCUGAGGGAAGAGAAAGGACGGUACCUUAGGAAUAAGCGUCGGCUAACUACGUGCCAGCAGCCGCGGUAAGACGUAGGACGCGAGCGUUAUCCGGAUUUACUGGGCGUAAAGCGUGUGUAGGCGGCGUGACAAGUUGGGCGUGAAAGCCCCGUGCUCAACGCGGGGAGGCCGCACAAUACUGUCAGGCUAGAGGGCACCAGAGGGGUGUGGAAUUCCCGGAGUAGCGGUAAAAUGCGCAGAUAUCGGGAGGAACACCGGUGGCGAAAGCGGCACCCUGAGGUGCGCCUGACGCUGAGAGACGACAGCUAGGGGAGCGAACAGGAUUAGAGACCCUGGUAGUCCUAGCCGUAAACGAUGGAUGCUAGGUGUAGGAGUGAAGAGCUUCUGUGCCGCAGCGAACGCGAUAAGCAACCCGCCUGGGGAGUACGGCCGCAAGGUUAAAACUCAAACGAAUUGACGGGGACCCGCACAAGCAGCGGAGCGUGUGGUUUAAUUCGAUGCUACACGAAGAACCUUACCUGGGAUUGACAUAUAGGUGGUAGUGAUCCGAAAGGAGAGCGACCCUUCGGGGAGCCUAUACAGGUGCUGCAUGGCUGUCGUCAGCUCGUGCCGUGAGGUGUAGGGUUAAGUCCCGUAACGAGCGCAACCCUUGUCCUUAGUUACAAGUGUCUAAGGGGACUGCGGGCGGGAAGCCGGAGGAAGUUGGGGAUGAGGUCAAGUCAGCAUGGUCGUUAUAUCCAGGGGGA
This 1089-nucleotide ribosomal RNA is filed under the name uncultured organism. Its description in RNAcentral is "bacterial SSU rRNA". It matches the Rfam family "Bacterial small subunit ribosomal RNA", at positions 94 to 1216 of the family's 1533-position model. The record is from RNAcentral.